CUCAGUUCGGAUCGGAGUCUGCAACCCGACUCCGUGAAGCUGGAUUCGCUAGUAAUCGCGCAUCAGCCAUGGCGCGGUGAAUACGUUCCCGGGCCUUGUACACACCGCCCGUCAAGCCAUGGGAGCCGGGGGUGCUUGAAGUGCGUCGCCGCAAGGCGCGCCCUAGAGCAAAACCGGUGACUGGGGCUAAGUCGUAACAAGGUAAC
Molecule: ribosomal RNA, 206 nt
Filed under: uncultured bacterium
Lineage: Bacteria
Description: partial 16S ribosomal RNA
Rfam family: Bacterial small subunit ribosomal RNA
Source: RNAcentral